RNAcentral lists this ribosomal RNA (572 nucleotides) under uncultured Glomeromycotina. RNAcentral's name for it is "SSU rRNA". It matches the Rfam family "Eukaryotic small subunit ribosomal RNA", at positions 548 to 1114 of the family's 1831-position model. Lineage: Eukaryota; Fungi; Glomeromycota. The record is from RNAcentral.
UUGGAGGGCAAGUCUGGUGCCCGCAGCCGCGGUAAUUCCAGCUCCAAUAGCGUAUAUUAAAGUUGUUGCAGUUAAAAAGCUCGUAGUUGAAUUUCGGGAUUGACGUGAUGGUCAUGCCUUAAGGGGUAUGAACUGUUACAGUUGAUUUCUCACCUUCUGGAGAAACUUGAUGUCCUUUAUUGGGUGUCUUGCGGAUCCAGGACCUUUACCUUGAAAAAAUUAGAGUGUUUAAAGCAGGCAUUUUUGCUCGAAUACAUUAGCAUGGAAUAAUAGAAUAGGACGGCAUGGUUUUAUUUUGUUGGUUUCUAGGAUCACCGUAAUGAUUAAUAGGGAUAGUUGGGGGCGUUAGUAUUCAAUUGUCAGAGGUGAAAUUCUUGGAUUUAUUGAAGACUAACUACUGCGAAAGCAUUUGCCAAGGAUGUUUUCAUUAAUCAAGAACGAAAGUUAGGGGAUCGAAGACGAUCAGAUACCGUCGUAGUCUUAACCAUAAACUAUGCCGACUAGGAAUCAGACGAUGUUAAUUUUUUAAUGACUCGUUUGGCACCUUACGGGAAACCAAAGUGUUUGGGUUC